RNAcentral lists this ribosomal RNA (642 nucleotides) under uncultured bacterium. RNAcentral's name for it is "bacterial SSU rRNA". The stretch from base 1 to 544 matches the Rfam family "Bacterial small subunit ribosomal RNA", at positions 338 to 873 of the family's 1533-position model. The record is from RNAcentral.
CCUACGGGAGGCAGCAGUAGGGAAUUUUCCGCAAUGGGCGAAAGCCUGACGGAGCAAUACCGCGUGAGGGAUGACGGCCUGUGGGUUGUAAACCUCUUUUCUCAAGGAAGAAGUUCUGACGGUACUUGAGGAAUAAGCAUCGGCUAACUCUGUGCCAGCAGCCGCGGUAAUACAGAGGAUGCAAGCGUUAUCCGGAAUCACUGGGCAUAAAGCGUCUGUAGGUUGUUUAGUAAGUCUGCUGUUAAAGACUGGGGCUUAACCCCAGAAAAGCAGUGGAAACUGCUAGACUCGAGUGUGGUAGAGGUAGAGGGAAUUCCUAGUGUAGCGGUGAAAUGCGUAGAUAUUAGGAAGAACACCAAUGGCGAAGGCACUCUACUGGGCCAUAACUGACACUGAGAGACGACAGCUAGGGGAGCAAACGGGGAUUAGAUACCCCGGUAGUCCUAGCCGUAAACGAUGGACUACUAGAUGUUGUCGACGUACGUUAACCGUUACGUCGACGUAUACGUAGUACGUAACGGUACGGUUAACGUUACGUACCGUCCGUCGGUAACGGUAACGUACGUCGCGACGAGUAGAAACGUAACGAAGGAAAGUUAGACGGCGUGAGACGUGCCGACGGACGACGACGAGGGAGGUAGG